AUGUCAGGCCUGGUGAGAGCUGCUGUCAAACUCCUUUGCAAGGCUGGGGGCAGGCGGUGUCCUGUGUGCUCAGGACACGUGAGGUCUGGCCCCACUGUGGCCGGACCCCGAGCUCCUGCGAGUCUGGCGGCUGCAUCCUCCUAUGCCCCCAGCCCAGAAGCUGAGUUUCCAGAAGCUCCCCAGGCCUGGUCGAGGUCCAGGCAGAGGAACAGGAUUAGGAUUGAGCCCCCGAGGCCCCAGACCUCAGCUUCCUGCACAAACCACAUGACCUGGGGGGUUGAGGGGCUCGAGUCAAGACCCGCAGCAGAUCAGGAAAAGGCCUCGUGCUGUCUGGUUCUGAGCAGACUCGCUGGAGGUGAAUCAGAGCUCUGGAAAUUACUCCUUAAGUUGCGGUCUUCGGUCUCCGUUGCCUGACACUCGUAAAGUUAGUUUUACAAGCAGCCUAAACUCCCCUUUGCAAUGAUCGGCCGAUGGUGACCAGGCAUUUGCCUAGAUUUUUCUCUCCUCUAAAGGCGGGAUUCCAUCUCUGUACAAUCUGUGAAUUGUUCCCAGUGAGAUGGACCUCAUUUUGUCUCGCACCCCCACUGGCAACGCCAGGGGCUGUUGUGGAUGUGGUUUGGAGACCUGCGUCCAAGCAAUAAAAAUGAAUCUCCCCUGUGACCGUCUGGACGACGUGAGCAGAUCCCGAGUCUGGCUUUAAUGGGAGCGGGAAAUCACUAACAGAUGGCGGUGGCGCUCACAGGCUCCCCGCCUAGAACCCUUCUGACGGCAGCUCGCCCCCCGCACGUGCGUCCCAGACGUGGGCUAUUUGCAGGACGCCUGGCCCCCCGCGAUGCUAAAUGUGUAGCAGCAGGGGGGCUGCGUGUGUGCCGGCUGAGGUCAUGGUUAUUCGUUUGGAGGAGAGGCGUUUGGUUUAUAAAACCCCAGCGACUCCACGGGGAGGGCCUUUCGGGGAAGAAAACCAGCCCAGGGUUUGCUUCCUGUUCCGACGCCGGUGGGAUCAGCGCUGACAUCACUGGCCCUGGACGGGCUCUGGGCGAAGUUGCCU
This 1048-nucleotide long non-coding RNA is filed under the name Sus scrofa (pig). RNAcentral describes it as "lncRNA (ENSSSCG00040021552.1)". Lineage: Eukaryota; Metazoa; Chordata; Mammalia; Artiodactyla; Suidae. The record is from RNAcentral.